This 253-nucleotide ribosomal RNA is filed under the name uncultured bacterium. RNAcentral's name for it is "partial 16S ribosomal RNA". It matches the Rfam family "Bacterial small subunit ribosomal RNA", at positions 524 to 776 of the family's 1533-position model. The record is from RNAcentral.
UACGGAGGAUGCAAGCGUUAUCCGGAUUUAUUGGGUUUAAAGGGUGCGUAGGCGGAUUAAUAAGUCAGUGGUGAAAACCUUCAGCUUAACUGGAGACUUGCCAUUGAUACUGUUAGUCUUGAGUAUGGUUAAGGUAGGCGGAAUGUGUAAUGUAGCGGUGAAAUGCUUAGAUAUUACACAGAACACCGAUUGCGAAGGCAGCUUACUGAACCAUAACUGACGCUGAUGCACGAAAGCGUGGGGAGCGAACAGG